This 489-nucleotide ribosomal RNA is filed under the name uncultured bacterium. Its description in RNAcentral is "bacterial SSU rRNA". It matches the Rfam family "Bacterial small subunit ribosomal RNA", at positions 68 to 594 of the family's 1533-position model. The record is from RNAcentral.
UAGAUUCUUCGGAUGAAGGUGCUGAGCGGCGGACGGGUGAGUAACGCGUGGGUACCCGCCUCAUACAGGGGGAUAACAGUUAGAAAUGACUGCUAAUACCGCAUAAGACCGCAUGGUAAAAACUCCGGUGGUAUGAGAUGGACCCGCGUCUGAUUAGCUAGUUGGUAAGGUAACGGCUUACCAAGGCGACGAUCAGUAGCCGACCUGAGAGGGUGACCGGCCACAUUGGGACUGAGACACGGCCCAAACUCCUACGGGAGGCAGCAGUGGGGAAUAUUGCACAAUGGGGGAAACCCUGAUGCAGCGACGCCGCGUGAGCGAAGAAGUAUUUCGGUAUGUAAAGCUCUAUCAGCAGGGAAGAAAAUGACGGUACCUGACUAAGAAGCACCGGCUAAAUACGUGCCAGCAGCCGCGGUAAUACGUAUGGUGCAAGCGUUAUCCGGAUUUACUGGGUGUAAAGGGAGCGUAGACGGAUGGGCAAGUCUGAUG